Long non-coding RNA from Gallus gallus (chicken), 2552 nucleotides. RefSeq lists it as uncharacterized. NCBI's taxonomy places the organism in Eukaryota, Metazoa, Chordata, Aves, Galliformes, Phasianidae. The record is from RefSeq and is a predicted model, not a curated record. The transcript has 3 exons.
GGCCACUUCCUUUCUUCACUGCAGUCUCGCUGUCCCCAAGCUGCUCCUGCCUCAUGGCACCAACGGUGGUGGCCCUCAUCCUCGGUGAGUGACAAUGGGGACGUGGUGCCACAGGGGUUGGUGGCCCUGUGUGGGACCAGGACUGUGUCCCUUGCAGGUUGGUGGCUGGUGGCAGCGAGCAGAGCACAGCAAGUGCCCCGACCCUCCCUGUCGCUGCACCCCAGCAAGGGGGUGUCCCUCGCGAACAAUGUCACCCUGCGGUGCCACCUGCCCCACCUGGCUGCCUGGGUCUGGCUGUACCAGGAAGGAGGUUGGACAUACCGCAAUCUACAAGGAGAUUCUCUACAAGGAGAAGGAGAAUAACACUGCUGAGUUCUCCUUCAUUAAGACAACAUGGGAACACGCAGGGAUGUAUCGGUGCCAGUACCAUGUGUUGGUGCUGUUCGGGAACGUCGGAGACAAGUGACCCCGUGCAGCUGGUGCUGACAGGUGACGGCACUGGGGAUGGCUGGUGGUUCUGGACUGUUCUCACAGAGCCACAUCCCAUCCUUGUCCUCUCCCCACAUGCGGAUCACAGAUAUCCAUCUCCUUGCGUUUCCCUGAGCCCCGAUGAUCUCGUGGGCACGGGGACAAAAUUUACAGUCCACGUGGAGAUGGGGGCCAAUGUCACCAUUCAGUGUUGGAACACGGGCUAUAGGGGAACCAUCCUUCUACACAAGCAUGGGCACUCAGCCCCUGUCCAGCGUCAGGACUACAGUGGUGUGGGCACGGCCACCUUCAGCCUCUUUGCGCUGACCCUGAGUGACGCUGGCACCUAUGGAUGCUCCUAUCGCCCCAAGUCCCGCCCUUUUGCGUCCUCAGCCCUUGGGGACAGCAUGAUGCUGGAGGUGACACCCACAGCUGCACCCUCAGGUAGGCCAGAGCCCUUCCUGUGAGUGCCCGCAGUGUCACUGCAUCCCAAUGCCAUGGAGAUGGUGGUCAGGGAUGGGGACACCCAAACACCUGGACCCCACAGGUGCCAAAGGAAUUCCCCUGGGAACCUGGUGGUGUCGGUGGUGAGGGGCUGCGCUGCUGCCUUUGUCUUCAUCCUCGGCCUUUACUUUGUCCUGGAUGCACGUAGACUCAUGGUGUGGUGAGAUGAGAGUCCUGAUCCCCCUGCAGAACGCCUGAGGCCAUGCAGCUCCAGGUGAGUGUCUGGGACGGGGGACCCCAAAUCCCAGCCUGCACCUUGGGGCCGCAGGAUUCACCAUCAAGGAACCCCAGUACCACCCCACUGGGACCCCAAAGGAGCCCUCCUAUGGCUUCAGCUAACUUGAUCUGUGCCCCCUAGAUCCAGUCCACGUGCAAUCCCAGAUCUACACCACCCCCUUGGGCAUGCCCAUGCAUAUCUGUUUUGUAGGGUCCCCCAUUCAUCUUGUGGACACAUGUGGUGUCAUCCCCAUGUCCCCCUGUGGUCCCAGGUGCUCCUUGGUGAAAGCGAGGCUCUGAACUCUGCUGAGCUGUGACCUCCGACCCCUCAUGGUCCCCCACCACCUCCCAGCCUCCUGCUAUCUAUGCCGAGGUGGGUGCUGGAGGACCUCACUGACACCUCCUCAGUCCAGGUUCCUCACUUUGGGCAGACCCCACGUUCCCCUUCAGGGCAACUUGAUGCUGAGUUCCUUUUCACAAGCUCCUUCCACACAAACCCAAUACCCCAAAUCUAGCACCCCCAAAUCGUCACUGAUGAACUCUAAAUGAUUUCAAUCAAGAAAACUCUAAACGCACUGAACCCAAAAUGCUGCCCUCCCUCUGUUCUGCUUCUAGCAUCGCUUGGGAGGCGGUGAGCACUGCUUUGUGAGACAUUUCCUUAUAACUAUCUGCAGAUAAAUACACACAUAUAGACAUAUACUAUAACCAUUACUGUUAUUUCUCUCUUCCUGUUGUCGCGUGGCAAAUAGAUUUUAUCUUGACCCACAAGUUGUGGCUUUUUAUUCUGAGUCUCUCUGGGAUCCCACUGGGAGGGGACAGUGAGAAUAAAAGCUGUGUGGUGCUGAGCUGCUGCUGGGUGACAGCACCACAGUCCUUGUGGUGCCCCACGUGGGGCCUGAAGGGUGCAGACCCGCACAUCUGUGAGCAGAGCGUGUUCCAACACAACUGCUCUUAGUGGUACAGCAGCCUCAGAGCUGCUGCUCACAGCGCUGAGCUGUUCCUUCCCUCUGGGCCAUCCCAGCUCUCAGGGCUCUUUCCUUCCCUGCGCUGGCACUGCUUCUCCUCUCCGAGGGCUGUCCUGCAACUCUGCAUGCUUCUACCCUCUUGUCCAGUGAUUUUUAUUUUUUUUUUUCCUGGAUAUUUCAGCAGUGUUUUCGUUUCUUACUGCUUCCCCAGAAGCUCAGCAGUUCAUUGCCUGACGUACCCACUGAACCCAGAGGUGAAUUUCCACCUCAAGAGGCGCAAACUACGGCACCUAUCAACUUAUGUUAAAGGGAAAGGAUGCAGCAUGUGUGUAUCUGUAGUGGAAUUCCAGGGUCACAGCCUGAACCAAUGGGUGGGCUCUGUGAGUGUGUGAGUGCGGC